AUUAAUUAGAUGAGGGCUCGCUGAUUAAGAAUCAUCUCCAUUUUUACAAGUAAUUUUGUGGUUAUAAAAGUUGGAUUUUUGACAGAAGUGGGGACAGACAUUGAAUCUAUGUGGCGCCAAUUCUAGCUAGUGGCCGCUGCUGAACUAACUUACCCCAAAUUACUCCACUUUAAAUCUUUAAUAAAAUAAUUUCCUCACAAUAUUAUUGCAAAAAUAAUAUUCCUCUAUUAUUCCUCCAAAUGCCAACUCGAAAUACUUUAUCCUUUAAAGAUGAGAAGAAAUUUACGAAACCCCUUUUUGACAAUGUUUAAACAUUUUUUUAAUAAUUAUUUAUUAAUUCUCUGAAAAUCGUUGUUAUCAAAUAAAAUUAAUUUUUAUUAUUUAUUUUAUCAACAGAGAAAUUUUCAAUUUUUACUUUUCUUACAACAGUAAAAAUAACAUUACUUUUGCUGUAUAAAUAAGUUAUAUGUCUUGAAUUUAAAAUAUAAAUUAUUAUUAUUAUUAUACAUUAUUAAAAUAAUGAAAAUCUAAUAAAUUGUUUAUUGCAAUUUUACUGGCUUUAAUAUGAGAUAAAUCCAUUUUCCGGGCCCAGCGCAAUGUAUACAUCAGAGCUUACAUUAGAACUAGUGGGGAGAGACAAGAAAUGGUAGAGCCGAAGAUGCACGAAGGAAACACGCUCACCGAUAUACGAGGGUAGCGUCGUAGUGGUGAGCAGUGGUAGUGGUUUUGCAGUAGCCACGAGGCGCCCGAGAAUACGCGGAAAAGUACUUAUGUUUAAAGCUAUAUAACACAAUAAGUAUUUGAAGGAGACAAAUUUUAAUUGUUGGAAAUGAAAAAGCAACUCAAAAACUAUCGAUUGGUAUAAAAAAAUAAAAA
Long non-coding RNA from Leptopilina boulardi, 876 nucleotides. RefSeq lists it as uncharacterized. The record is from RefSeq and is a predicted model, not a curated record. The transcript has 2 exons. NCBI's taxonomy places the organism in Eukaryota, Metazoa, Arthropoda, Insecta, Hymenoptera, Figitidae.